This 72-nucleotide transfer RNA is filed under the name Camelus bactrianus (Bactrian camel). It matches the Rfam family "tRNA". From Rfam's summary of the family: Transfer RNA (tRNA) molecules are approximately 80 nucleotides in length. Lineage: Eukaryota; Metazoa; Chordata; Mammalia; Artiodactyla; Camelidae. RNAcentral also lists the same sequence under 2 other names. The record is from Rfam by way of RNAcentral.
GAGGGCAUAGCUCAAUGGUAGAGCAUGUGCUUAGCACGAACAAGAUCCUGGGUUCAAUCCCCAGUACAUCCA